UUGCGGGGUGGAGAAACGGUAUCUCGUCGGGCUCAUAACCCGAAGAUAGCAGGUUCAAUUCCUGCCCCCGCAAG
This 74-nucleotide transfer RNA is filed under the name candidate division SR1 bacterium Aalborg_AAW-1. RNAcentral describes it as "tRNA-Met". It matches the Rfam family "tRNA". Rfam says of the family: Transfer RNA (tRNA) molecules are approximately 80 nucleotides in length. Their secondary structure includes four short double-helical elements and three loops (D, anti-codon, and T loops). Lineage: Bacteria; Candidatus Absconditibacteriota. The record is from RNAcentral.